Molecule: transfer RNA, 72 nt
Organism: Aspergillus niger
Lineage: Eukaryota; Fungi; Ascomycota; Eurotiomycetes; Eurotiales; Aspergillaceae
Rfam family: tRNA
About the family: Transfer RNA (tRNA) molecules are approximately 80 nucleotides in length.
Source: Rfam
GGCCUAUUGGCUCAAUGGUAGAGCGUCGCUCUCCUAAAGCGAAGGUUGUGGGUUCGAGUCCCAUGUGGGUCG